GAGAGUGGCGUACGGGUGCGUAACGCGUAUGCAACCUACCUUCAUCAGGGGGAUAGCCCUCGGAAACGGGGAUUAACACCGCAUAAAAACACAACCUGGCAUCAGGAAAUGUUCAAAUAUUUAUAGGAUGAAGAUGGGCAUGCGUGUCAUUAGCUAGUUGGCGAGGUAACGGCUCACCAAGGCGACGAUGACUAGGGGAUCUGAGAGGAUGACCCCCCACACUGGUACUGAGACACGGACCAGACUCCUACGGGAGGCAGCAGUAAGGAAUAUUGGUCAAUGGAGGCAACUCUGAACCAGCCAUGCCGCGUGCAGGAAGACAGCCCUAUGGGUCGUAAACUGCUUCUAUACGGGAAUAAACCUUGAUUCGUGAAUCGAGCUGAAUGUACCGUAAGAAUAAGGAUCGGCUAACUCCGUGCCAGCAGCCGCGGUAAUACGGAGGAUCCAAGCGUUAUCCGGAUUUAUUGGGUUUAAAGGGAGCGUAGG
This 486-nucleotide ribosomal RNA is filed under the name uncultured Pedobacter sp. Its description in RNAcentral is "bacterial SSU rRNA". It matches the Rfam family "Bacterial small subunit ribosomal RNA", at positions 91 to 575 of the family's 1533-position model. The record is from RNAcentral. Lineage: Bacteria; Pseudomonadati; Bacteroidota; Sphingobacteriia; Sphingobacteriales; Sphingobacteriaceae.